GGCUGCUCCAAGUACAGGGGUGUUUACGACAAAUUGAGCAAAACCAGUUACAGAUUCCUUUGUUCCUUCUCCACUCCCACUGCUUCAUUUGACUAGCCUUAA
Otolemur garnettii (small-eared galago) is the source of this 102-nucleotide unclassified non-coding RNA. It matches the Rfam family "Y RNA". Rfam says of the family: Y RNAs are components of the Ro ribonucleoprotein particle (Ro RNP), in association with Ro60 and La proteins. The Y RNAs and Ro60 and La proteins are well conserved, but the function of the Ro RNP is not known. NCBI's taxonomy places the organism in Eukaryota, Metazoa, Chordata, Mammalia, Primates, Galagidae. The record is from Ensembl.